CGCGGGAUGGAGCAGUCUGGUAGCUCGUCGGGCUCAUAACCCGAAGGUCGGAGGUUCAAAUCCUCCUCCCGCAA
Molecule: non-coding RNA, 74 nt
Organism: Bacillus sp. LL01
Lineage: Bacteria; Bacillati; Bacillota; Bacilli; Caryophanales; Bacillaceae
Source: Rfam